RNAcentral lists this ribosomal RNA (504 nucleotides) under uncultured bacterium. Its description in RNAcentral is "bacterial SSU rRNA". It matches the Rfam family "Bacterial small subunit ribosomal RNA", at positions 791 to 1306 of the family's 1533-position model. The record is from RNAcentral.
UAGUCUGCGCCGUAAACGAUGGAUACUAACAGUUUGGGGAUUCGACCCCCUGAGUUGUAAAGCUAACGCGUUAAGUAUCCCGCCUGGGGAGUACGGUCGCAAGAUUAAAACUCAAAGGAAUAGACGGGGACCCGCACAAGCGGUGGAGCGUGUUCUUUAAUUGGAUGAUACGCCAAGAACCUUACCAAGGUUUGACAUCCUAGGAAAGCCUUCGAAAGAAGACUGUGCCUUUUGGAACCUAGUGACAGAUGAUGCAUGGCCGUCGUCAGCUCGUGUUGUGAAAUGUCGGGUUAAGCCCCUCAACGAGCGCAACCCUUAUGAUAUAGUUGUAUUUUUCUAUACAGACUGCCUCGGUAACGGGGAGGAAGGAGGGGAUGACGUCAGGUCCUUAUUUCUCUUACACCUUGGGCUAGAAACGCGCUACAAUGGCCGGUACAAUGGGGCAGCCAAGCAGCAAUGCGGAGCAAAUCCUAAAAAGCCGGUACCCAGUUCGGAUAAGAGGCU